Molecule: ribosomal RNA, 497 nt
Filed under: uncultured bacterium
Lineage: Bacteria
Description: partial 16S ribosomal RNA
Rfam family: Bacterial small subunit ribosomal RNA
Source: RNAcentral
GAUGAACGCUGGCGGCGUGCCUAAUACAUGUAAGUCGAGCGAACGGACGAGAAGCUUGCUUCUCUGAUGUUAGCGGCGGACGGGUGAGUAACACGUGGAUAACCUACCUAUAAGACUGGGAUAACUUCGGGAAACCGGAGCUAAUACCGGAUGAUAUUUUGAACCGCAUGGUUCAAAAGUGAAAGACGGUCUUGCUGUCACUUAUAGAUGGAUCCGCGCUGCAUUAGCUAGUUGGUAAGGUAACGGCUUACCAAGGCAACGAUGCAUAGCCGACCUGAGAGGGUGAUCGGCCACACUGGAACUGAGACACGGUCCAGACUCCUACGGGAGGCAGCAGUAGGGAAUCUUCCGCAAUGGGCGAAAGCCUGACGGAGCAACGCCGCGUGAGUGAUGAAGGUCUUCGGAUCGUAAAACUCUGUUAUUAGGGAAGAGCAUAUGUGUAAGUAACUGUGCACAUCUUGACGGUACCUAAUCAGAAAGCCACGGCUAACUACGUG